UGGAAGUCUCUUUUCUCCUCCAGUGUGU
RNAcentral lists this non-coding RNA (28 nucleotides) under Mus musculus (house mouse). The record is from RNAcentral. Lineage: Eukaryota; Metazoa; Chordata; Mammalia; Rodentia; Muridae.